AGUGAACGCUGGCGGUAGGCCUAACACAUGCAAGUCGAACGGCAGCACAGUAAGAGCUUGCUCUUACGGGUGGCGAGUGGCGGACGGGUGAGGAAUACAUCGGAAUCUACUUUUUCGUGGGGGAUAACGUAGGGAAACUUACGCUAAUACCGCAUACGACCUACGGGUGAAAGCAGGGGAUCUUCGGACCUUGCGCGAUUGAAUGAGCCGAUGUCGGAUUAGCUAGUUGGCGGGUUAAAGGCCCACCAAGUCGACGAUCCGUAGCUGGUCUGAGAGGAUGAUCAGCCACACUGGAACUGAAACACGAUCCAGACUCCUACGGGAGGCAGCAGUGGGGAAUAUUGGACAAUAGGCGCAAGCCUGAUCCAGCCAUACCGCGUGGGUGAAGAAGGCCUUCGGGUUGUAAAGCCCUUUUGUUGGGAAAGAAAAGCAGCAGGUUAAUACCCCGCUGUUCUGACGGUACCCAAAGAAUAAGCACCGGCUAACUUCGUG
This 492-nucleotide ribosomal RNA is filed under the name uncultured bacterium. RNAcentral describes it as "partial 16S ribosomal RNA". It matches the Rfam family "Bacterial small subunit ribosomal RNA", at positions 29 to 507 of the family's 1533-position model. The record is from RNAcentral.